UUCUCUGUCAACAGCACAGCACGGUGAUUAUGAAUGCGCCCUGGACCAGAUGCAUGGGUUCAAGUCCUGGACAAGGAACUUCUCUGUGACUCUGUCUCCCAGUUGGGACACAGGGAAGAUUAGAGCACACUCCUCACACGAUUCUAGGAGGGUCAAAUGGGCUGACACAUGCCUGGCACAGAAUAAGCCCUAAAUAUAUGCUAGCCUUUAUUAUUAUACUGUUAUAUUACUUGCAAUUCCUUUCUCCGUUAUAAUUUCCUGACAGCAGCGAAUUUUUGCUUUAAAUGAAUCCAAGCUGUUAGUAGUGAAAGAUGAGAGAUCUUUGUUCUCAUACUUGGACACUUUCCCAUCCAAACCCUGACAGCAGCAUUGAGAUUUCUUUUUUUUUUUAAUAUUUUUUUAAUGUUUAUUUAUUUUUGAGAGAGAGAGACAGAGCAUGAACGGGGGAGGGGCAGAGAGAGAGGGAGACACAGAAUCGGACGCAGGCUCCAGGCUCCGAGCUGUCAGCACAGAGCCCCACGCGGGGCUCGAACCCACCGACCACGAGAUCAUGACCUGAGCUGAAGUCGGCCGCUUAACCGACUGAGCCACCCCGGUGGCCCGAGAUUUCUGAAAUAGAUGAUUUGCCUUCACCUCCAGAACCAUUUUUAGGAGACGCUGUCUGAACUCUUCGUUAAACAGCUUACAGAUAAAAGUGCUUUCUUUUCAGCGGUGACACGUUCCCCCAUCCAACCAUCCACCAUGAUUCUAAAGAGCCGCUCAACGCAGGGCCCGCUGGUCUGCGGGCAUUUCCUCCUGGCUCCCCGCUCGCUCUCUGCUCCAGACAAACCCUCCAGAGGAUCUCGGAGAUCAUGGAGCCCGCUCCUGUCUCGGGAGCUCCUUCCCCACAUCCGUGCACGGCUCCCUCCAACUCCAGGCCUCCCGCGAUCACCCCAGCGAAAAGAGAGAGCGUUCCCGCCAACCCUCUCGGCCAGAACUGGCUGCCAAUUCACCUCAUUCAACAACGACGUCAAGUGACCUGCUCGCGGGCCGGGCUUCCACUGAAUGAAGUCUUGGCUCCCAGGCUCCGGUCCGCAGAGGCACCUCUGGGAAGUCAAGGGUGGAGUGCUAGACGGCAGGAGUGGAGCGCGGGUGGGCAGCAGAUGGGAAAAGCAAGGCCUUCCAUUAGAGGAAGUCUGGAUGGCCCUGUGUCUCAGGCACCUCUUAUUUCCUGAUGCAUUCACUUAUUCAUUCAUCACCUGCCCACAUAUCUACCGGGUGCCUCCCGUGUGCCAGGCAGAGAAGCACACGGCGUCUGACACACCGCAGCGCUCAAUAAAUACUUGCAGAGAAAAGGGUGAGAAUAGCCUCGCCCCCUCUUGUCUCUCUCUCUCGUCUCAAGGCCGCUGUCUGGGAGCCUGCUGUGGGCCUGAUGGCCCACGGACAAGGACCUGUUUCUCUCCACACGGCGACUAUUAAUGCCUCUGCCAACUGCGAAGCUCGCUAAGUGACUCCACGGGCAAUAAAUCAGGUGCUCAGACGGUGCCAAUGACUCAAGACCCCGAGCAGUGAGACUACACACAGGAACAGCUGGCUUGUUUUUGACAAAAAUAUGCCAGAUGCUUUUUUCAGUGUCGUCACCCCACACCCAGACUAUUGCAGUGGCCCUCACUCCGCACCCUGGCGAGUUCUGCGCUCCGGUGCUAGGUGAGUCCUACGCCGGGAUUUCUUUAAGCUGCCCCUGGUCCAAGAACAUCCAAAUACACAGCACAGCCGGCCUCUUCAGGCCCGGGACUCUGUGCCACCAGCCUGAGUCACUCUCGCUGCCCGCCCCUAAUGUCCCCAGCCACACCAAUCUAUUCACCAGCUCCCAAGCAAGUUUCAGGCUUUGCCCAGACUGAGCAGGCCGCCCGGGAUGCACUUCCCGGCCUUCCAGAAACUUCCGUCACCCUGUCUGACCUCUCUUUCUCAGCCUUGGGGUUGAGCACUAGGCUGGCACCAAGGAAGGCUGUCUGGGUUCAAAUUCCAGCUGAGUGGCCGUGGGCAAGUAACUGAGCCUCAGUUCCCCUAUCUGUGAAACGGGAAUCUCACACCUGUGCACCGUCACAGCCAGACCUCAGUCGCUGUUGGACCACUUCUCUCCGAGGGAAGUCUCCUGCCUCCCCCCUGGCUAGGCUCUUUCCUGAGGGCAGGCCGGGCUCCCUGCUCCUGUGUUGCUGGAAUACACAACCUCCAAUUUCUCCUCCACGGCUCUGGCACCUUUCUCUGCGUGGGAGCCAACCUGUGCCAGGCCCUAGUUGGUCGUGUUGGACCAUAUUUCUCCAAAGAAAAUCUAGACCACUUCCUGGCGCUGGGCUCCCCUGCCUCCCUCCCUCUCCAUGCACUGCCCGCGGUAGGAGGCUGCGGCCAAGUGCGCUGCCAAGCACAGCCGGCCCGUCCCUACACCGCUGGAUUGGCCGCAGCUGAACUCCGUAUUGUUUUUCCACAUGGUCUCUCCGCCUGGAGAAGCAUCCCUCUGGAAGGUCCCGCGAGAGAGACAAUUUCCCCACCCUUCGCUGGGUCACCGGCACCUCCCCAGCCAGGACGGGUCUCGCUGAGCCAGAAAUGAUGCGAAACCAGGGUGAUGUCCUUCGGGAUCCAAAAUUCCGCGACUCUGGGAAUUCUAUUCGUCUAAUUCACAGCCUGUAGUUUAAUCAGCGGUCUGUGUUCAGAUGGGCCACCACAUUGCCCUCCGCCAGCAGGCUGGGAGUUGUCUGGAACGGGAAGCCUGACCUGCCCAUUGGACCAGACAGUGCCAGCCACGAUGGUCUCAGGUUGUUGAGUUCAACAGACAGCUUGCAGCAGAGGCCAGCCGUCAGCUGUCGGCACUCCUGGAUGGCGUGACACCAGCAGAGCAUUAUCCCCGAUGAAUCACAGCCGAGGUACUUUUCCACUGCCCCCCCCCCAUCCUUUCUUAAAGCCCUGUCACCUCGCAUUGUGGAGACCUGUGUCCCUCUUUCCCGAUGGCCUCCACCUCUUGUAGGCGGCGUCUGGGCGCUCAAGCCUAGCCUAGUUCCUGGCACCCAGUCAUUAAAUGACUUCACCGUCGCUUAAAAAAGAAGAGCCGCCACUUUAGAGAUCAGGCCUGAAAGGCGCACCAACGUUCCCCGUUCCCCGUCCUGAAGACCUGUGGCUGGAGACAGGGGAGGGAGAGAUAACCCGACCCCUCAGCUACAGGAAGACCCAGCCCAACCACCCUGAUCCUUCAAAGGGGAAUCAGGAAAUCCUCACUAAUGGCCCAGCUUCCCUACUUUGAGAUUCCAGAGGAAGCAGGGUAGUGACCCAGGGAGAUGCUAAUACACCAAGCAAGAAAUGCAGGAUACAAACAAAAGUGUGCGUGGUGCUCGCCCCGCCCCUGAUUGUUAAGAAACUGACUGUCAGGCUCCAACGUGGGCAGAACAAAGCCUGAGGCUAA
Long non-coding RNA from Felis catus (domestic cat), 3433 nucleotides. RefSeq lists it as uncharacterized. The record is from RefSeq and is a predicted model, not a curated record. NCBI's taxonomy places the organism in Eukaryota, Metazoa, Chordata, Mammalia, Carnivora, Felidae. The transcript is spliced from 3 exons.